GGUGACCCUCAUUCCACCAAAGGAGAGAUGGAGAGGUUGACAGAAGUCUGAGACUCACUGAGCUGCUCUUGUGGUUAGAGGGCUAAGGAGAGGAAGUCGGGACAAAGCUGCCUUUGUGCUCCCUGAAGAUGGAUCCUUGUCCUACAUCAUGAAACCAGCUACAGCUACCAAAACACUUUGUGGAGACCUGCUCAAAGACGGGAAGAAGAUGGGAUCAGCCUCUGGCUCAAUGCUCUAAGGGAACUUCCAGAAAUGAGACACACAGUAACUGGAUAAAAUACACUGGGAGCUAGUACAAGCAGAGAGGAAGGAAUCUGAAAACCAGUGCUGUCUGAUCAUGGUUUCCUCUGUACCUGAGUUUUCUGUAAAGAGACAGAUGCUGGUGGUGCCUAAAAUACAUCCACUUUAAACAUCUUUCCAAAAUGUGUCUCUAAGUAAAGACUUUCUCAUUUAUUCUUAUUUCAUCACAGCUACUCUGAAGCCUAGAUGAUCAUUUUCUCUACCUGCACCCCCCUGGCCAUGUCUGAUCAGGGCAGCCUCAGCUCAAUUUCCCACCUGAUGAAAAAUAAUAAACUCUCCCCUGAGCAACACUGUGUUCCCUGAAAUCACAGCACCCUCACCUUUGACACAUAGCUGUUGGUCAGCUUUUGGUCAUUGUGACAAAAUACCUGAGAUAAUCAACUUAUAGGGAGGAAAAUUUUGUUUUAGCUCUCAGUUUCAAAGGCCUCAGGCCAUGAUCAGUUGGCCCUGGGGACUUGGGGC
Molecule: long non-coding RNA, 762 nt
Filed under: Heterocephalus glaber (naked mole-rat)
Lineage: Eukaryota; Metazoa; Chordata; Mammalia; Rodentia; Bathyergidae
Description: lncRNA (ENSHGLG00000042817.1)
Source: RNAcentral